This 44-nucleotide non-coding RNA is filed under the name Schistosoma margrebowiei. The record is from RNAcentral. Lineage: Eukaryota; Metazoa; Platyhelminthes; Trematoda; Strigeidida; Schistosomatidae.
GCAUUGGAAGAGUCCCACUAUAGGACGAAACGGCCGUCCAAUAC